This 253-nucleotide ribosomal RNA is filed under the name uncultured bacterium. RNAcentral describes it as "partial 16S ribosomal RNA". It matches the Rfam family "Bacterial small subunit ribosomal RNA", at positions 524 to 776 of the family's 1533-position model. The record is from RNAcentral.
GACAGAGGGUGCAAGCGUUGUUCGGAAUCAUUGGGCGUAAAGCGCACGUAGGCGGUUUUGUAAGUCAGAUGUGAAAGCCCAGGGCUCAACCCUGGAAGUGCAUCUGAUACUGCAUGACUUGAGUCUCGGAGAGGGUGGUGGAAUUCCUGGUGUAGAGGUGAAAUUCGUAGAUAUCAGGAGGAACACCGGUGGCGAAGGCGACCACCUGGACGAAGACUGACGCUGAGGUGCGAAAGCGUGGGGAGCAAACAGG